GGGGAAUUUUCCGCAAUGGGCGCAAGCCUGACGGAGCAACGCCGCGUGAGGGAGGAAGGCCUGAGGGUUGUAAACCUCUUUUCUCUGGGAAGAAGAACUGACGGUACUUGAGGAAUCAGCCUCGGCUAACUCCGUGCCAGCAGCCGCGGUAAGACGGAGGAUGCAAGCGUUAUCCGGAAUUAUUGGGCGUAAAGCGUCCGUAGGUGGUUUUUUAAGUCUGUUGUUAAAGCCCACAGCUCAACUGUGGAUCGGCAAUGGAAACUGAGAGACUUGAGUGUGGUAGGGGUAGAGGGAAUUCCUAGUGUAGCGGUGAAAUGCGUAGAUAUUAGGAAGAACACCAGUGGCGAAGGCGCUCUACUGGGCCAUAACUGACACUGAUGGACGAAAGCUAGGGGAGCGAAAGGGAUUAGAUACCCCAGUAGUC
This 424-nucleotide ribosomal RNA is filed under the name uncultured cyanobacterium. RNAcentral describes it as "bacterial SSU rRNA". It matches the Rfam family "Bacterial small subunit ribosomal RNA", at positions 356 to 795 of the family's 1533-position model. Lineage: Bacteria; Bacillati; Cyanobacteriota. The record is from RNAcentral.